Non-coding RNA from Armillaria nabsnona, 101 nucleotides. Lineage: Eukaryota; Fungi; Basidiomycota; Agaricomycetes; Agaricales; Physalacriaceae. The record is from the annotation of a GenBank genome assembly.
GGCACAAUGGAUCAAUGGUACAUCGUCUCCAACUUAUUUCAAGACCACAAACCAACGUUAUACUGUAGGAGAAAAUCACGGUUCGAAUCCAUGUUGUGGCA